UAAUUCUAUUGGUAGACUGCCUUCGAGCGAAUUAUGGGACAGGUUGAGGUGCAACAAGCCUGUAAGAUUGACGAGAGAUGGUGAGAUGCCCCCUUUGAGACCUCUGGCGGCCAGCAAGACAUCUGUGACUGUCCCAUCGCUGCUGCAGAUGAUGCCUUCCCAUUUGCAGCAGUCUGUGCCAUUCACCCAUGAAUCGUUGAGACCACCGUUGCCAUCUGGCAUGAGCCCAUCUAGGAAGUUGAUGAGAGAGCUAUUCUCCUGCUCCGUGCAGGAGCUGCUAGGAGAGGCAAAGAAGAGCAGGAGGACAGCAGCAAGUCGAAGGAAAGGCAUGGAUAAACCUUUUCUGUUUCUGGGCGAGGAAGGGAGCUCUUGCAUGGUGUUCUCGGGAAAUUCACCUGAAAACCAUCUGGCUAGUUGUACUGCUCUGCACACUACUAAAAGCAGCCUGAGAUUUUCAGUACUGAAGCCAUGAGGGAAACAGGAAUAGGAUGGUGGUGUGGUACUCAUGGCUCGUCGCCUUAUGUAAACUGUAUGAACAUGUGCAAAUAGGUAGCUAAGAUUUCCUCUUAUUUUGAGGAAAGCUAUACUUUUGGAAGCCGAAGACUGAAGAGGAGCAGUGACUUAGUCCGAAGGCGUGCAAAUGGGUGCAAUCAGCUACUUUGAAGUUUCUGCAAGUAGUUGAAACUGGAUGUGUACUGCAAAUGAUAAAAUUACAAGUCAACUCUUAAGAGAAGGAUACCUACAAGAAUACGCGGGUUGCUGGGUAAGUAUGGUUGGUCAUGUUGUACUUAUUUUAUCCUACUACCAAUAUGUACUUUAAGUACAAGUCUCUCUGCUAUUACAGCAGUCACUGUCAGAAAAUAAACAAUUUUGGCCAUUUUGAUUGGAACCACAUGUGGAGAGACCCCUGGUAAUAUGGACACACUUCAAUCUGGGGAAUGGGGCGGGUUGAACUGGAUGUUUUGGUCUGGAAACGUACGUGGCCUCGUUUGGAUGGGCUGAAAUAAUGGCUGCUAAAAUUUAUAACACUUCUUCUAUUUAUAAUGGGCUGGAGCGGGGCGGACUGAGGAGUUAAGUGGACUGGAUCGGGGCGGUGUGGUUUGAGGAGAAAAAAAAGGGGAAAUGGAUUGAUACCGUGGGUUCAACCCGCACCUGGCCUGACCGCUGCCGCUGUCUUGGUCGCCUGCUUCUUCCUCCCCAUCCGCUGGCCUCCGUCCCACCGCCGACCUCCACCACCUUGAUGCAACGUUGCUCCUCCACGAGCUCCACGAGACCAAGGCCGGAACAAUGAAUGAUAGAUGAAAGUGAGCAUCCAAAACAUCAGAUGAGUGAAUGCUAGAUUUGAAGGACUGGCCUCCAUUGGCCAUACUGAGUACCUGUAGUCUGUUGACUGCUUGAGCAUGGGAAAUGAUAUUAUUGUCCAAAACUCCAAGUGGAGCUCAUCCAGUCUCCCGAGCUGACCUACAAACCGGCGAUCUUGCCGCAAGCUGAAAUUCUCCUAUAAAGUUGCUGUGCCAGGCUCUGACCAUGACUGAAUUGUUUAUCACCUCCCACGUUGUACAUAGAAGGUACUCUGUAGCAGGUACUCCUAGUUUGACGUGCAGUGUGCUGGGCUGCUGGCUGUCAUAGGGUAAGAACUAUUAUCAGCAGCGUCACACCGCCGACCGACCGCGAUGGCUAGUAUUCUGAAUGUCUUGCUGGAAGUUUUGAAGUAUUGAUCCUUGCAAAAGCAAUGGAUAAAAACCAUGGCGUGUCAAAAUGGGCACUCCUGAUUUCUCUGCGGAGGAAGGGAGCCGAGAAGCUGCGGAUGACGCUUGAAGGUGCAGAGGAAGAGGAAGAACUACAACACCUGUGAAUGUUGCCAGCAUUUCCCGUUGUAAUUGAUUGAAGUUGAUACUAUGAAAUGUAUCAGGCAUUGUAAAUUCCCUUGUAAUCCAGUGGGUUUAUGUCAGUGAAUAUGUGAGUUCAGAUAUUCAGUGAAGUAAAACACCAUUGUCGUCAAGUAUGUAUUUUCUCUGCGACUUGACAUGUGGUUGAUUUGAUA
Triticum dicoccoides is the source of this 2044-nucleotide long non-coding RNA. RefSeq lists it as uncharacterized. The record is from RefSeq and is a predicted model, not a curated record. NCBI's taxonomy places the organism in Eukaryota, Viridiplantae, Streptophyta, Magnoliopsida, Poales, Poaceae. The transcript has 3 exons.